CAGUCGCCGCGGUAAUACAGAGGGUGCGAGCGUUAAUCGGAUUUACUGGGCGUAAAGCGUGCGUAGGCGGCUUCUUAAGUCGGAUGUGAAAUCCCUGAGCUUAACUUAGGAAUUGCAUUUGAUACUGGGAAGCUAGAGUAUGGGAGAGGAUGGUAGAAUUCCAGGUGUAGCGGUGAAAUGCGUAGAGAUCUGGAGGAAUACCGAUGGCGAAGGCAGCCAUCUGGCCUAAUACUGACGCUGAGGUACGAAAGCAUGGGGAGCAAACAGGAUUAGAUACCCCAGUAGUCCCUGUCUCUUAUAC
This 301-nucleotide ribosomal RNA is filed under the name uncultured bacterium. RNAcentral's name for it is "partial 16S ribosomal RNA". It matches the Rfam family "Bacterial small subunit ribosomal RNA", at positions 509 to 807 of the family's 1533-position model. The record is from RNAcentral.